This 217-nucleotide ribosomal RNA is filed under the name uncultured bacterium. RNAcentral's name for it is "partial 16S ribosomal RNA". It matches the Rfam family "Bacterial small subunit ribosomal RNA", at positions 57 to 305 of the family's 1533-position model. The record is from RNAcentral.
GCAAGUCGAGUGGGUUUAGACCCACGGCGAACGGGUUAGUAAUACCUAGGAACUUUCUUUAAGUGGAGGAUAACCAGUCGAAAGAUUGGAUAAUACUUCAUGUGGCAGUAAUGCUAAAGUCGCAAGACGCUUAAAGUGAGGCCUGGGCACCAUCAGCUAGUUGGUAAGGUAAUGGCUUACCAAGGCUAUGACGGUUAGGGGUCCCGAGAGGGAGAAC